GUCGUGAGAUGUUGGGUUAAGUCCCGCAACGAGCGCAACCCCCGUCCCAUGUUGCCAGCAUUAAGUUGGGGACUCAUGGGAGACUGCCGGUGACAAACCGGAGGAAGGUGGGGAUGACGUCAAGUCAUCAUGCCCCUUAUGUCCAGGGCUACACACGUGCUACAUUGGCCGAUACAGAGGGUUGCGAUGCCGUGAGGUGGAGCGAAUCCCAAAAAGUCGGUCUCGGUUCGGAUUGGAGGCUGAAACUCGCCUGCAUGAAGGCGGAGUUGCUAGUAAUCGCGGAUCAGCAUUGCCGCGGUGAAUACGUUCCCGGGCCUUGUACACACCGCCCGUCACACCACGGGAGUGAGCAACACCCGAAGCCGGUGGCCUAACCCGCAAGGGAGGGAGCCGUCGAAGGUGGGGCUCGUGACUGGGGUGAAGUCGUAACAAGGUAGCCGUAGCGGAAGCUGCGGCUGGAUCACCUCCUUUCUAGGGAGCACCAAGCGGUGCCCCGAUCCAGCGGCCAGCAUUGGCCGCGCGCGGUCGCCCGCCCUCGAGGCGCGGCGAUGUCCAAGCGGAUCGGGCCUAGCAUGUCGACCGAACCUGGCUGGACGGCUCACCGCCGCCCGUCUCCCUGACUACUUGGGAGCGCGAUCGGUGAUGGGCCACACAACGACCUCAGCAUGCUGUUGAGUUUUGAGAGACCGGCGCCCGCCGGCGCUCGUGGGACACGCCGAUCAGUGCGUGACCGUAAACGCGAGAGCCGGCCGGCGUUUACGCCUCUUCACGGUCCUUGAAAACUGCACAGAAGCCACAUCAGCCGCCAUCGAUAAGCGGCGGCUGAAAAACGGGUAUCACCGGGCCCCAUGUGACUGCCGGCGCUCCGACAGGGGCGUCAUGGUCAUGUUGGGUCAGAAUCACCAGAAUUACUGUCAAGAUAGUAAGGGCACACGGUGGAUGCCUUGGCACCAAGAGUCGAUGAAGGGCGUUAACGGCUGCGAUAAGCCACGGUUAGGCGCUGAAUAGCCUUUGACCCGUGGAUUC
RNAcentral lists this small RNA (1026 nucleotides) under uncultured Patulibacter sp. RNAcentral's name for it is "bacterial SSU rRNA". The stretch from base 1 to 471 matches the Rfam family "Bacterial small subunit ribosomal RNA", at positions 1064 to 1533 of the family's 1533-position model. The record is from RNAcentral. Lineage: Bacteria; Bacillati; Actinomycetota; Thermoleophilia; Solirubrobacterales; Patulibacteraceae.